UAGGGAAUAUUGGACAAUGGGUGAGAGCCUGAUCCAGCCAUGCCGCGUGCAGGAAGAAGGCGUUAUGCGUUGUAAACUGCUUUUGCCAGGGGAUAAAAAAGCUCUGCGGAGCAAAUUGAAGGUACCUGGUGAAUAAGCCACGGCUAACUACGUGCCAGCAGCCGCGGUAAUACGUAGGGUGCAAGCGUUAAUCGGAAUUACUGGGCGUAAAGCGUGCGCAGGCGGUUAUGCAAGACAGAUGUGAAAUCCCCGGGCUCAACCUGGGAACUGCAUUUGUGACUGCAUGGCUAGAGUGCGGCAGAGGGGGAUGGAAUUCCGCGUGUAGCAGUGAAAUGCGUAGAUAUGCGGAGGAACACCGAUGGCGAAGGCAAUCCCCUGGGCCUGCACUGACGCUCAUGCACGAAAGCGUGGGGAGCAAACAGGAUUAGAUACCCUGGUAGUCCACGCCCUAAACGAUGUCAACUGGUUGUUGGGAAGGUUCCUUCUCAGUAACGUAGCUAACGCGUGAAGUUGACCGCCUGGGGAGUACGGCCGCAAGGUUG
RNAcentral lists this ribosomal RNA (542 nucleotides) under uncultured bacterium. RNAcentral's name for it is "bacterial SSU rRNA". It matches the Rfam family "Bacterial small subunit ribosomal RNA", at positions 355 to 896 of the family's 1533-position model. The record is from RNAcentral.